CUACCUGUACGAACGGAAGAGAUUGACGUGUGUACCAAAGUCGUUAUUGCUCCGACUCUUCGAGUUUUGCUACUCCAUAACGUAGGGUAGGUUUAAAAGAGUUCUACAAAAUCUGGAUUAAACCUUCUAUGCGAAUGGGUUCAUCGUCCACCUAGUUCCCAUGCGACCAGAGCAACCCGGAGUUCAUCGUCGACCUAGUUCCCUGACUUCCUCUCCUGCGACGGUGAAGGGCGGGCCUCUUCUCCCGGUAGCGCGGUAGCUACCCUCCUCCGGUCCGACUCGUGCGGAAGCGGUGGCCGCAACGGGACCCUCUAGACGAUUGAAGAGCCAAGAACGAUAACGUCCAAUAACCGGACGGGCACGACGAUCGGGAUAGUACCAACUAAAACGACCAACCUUAGGCUGCCUAGCCGCAGGCCGCUCGGUCUACCUAACACACGGGCGGAAAAGAAUUAACCUUUCUUGUAUAGAAAACAACGACCUCUAACUUACGAACCCGACUACGAAGUAAGACACGCACUUAACAAACCUAACGAUGACUAAAGUUACAUGAUUCCCUUAGGAUUUACUAAUUACCGCAACACAACAUGUUAUCAUAAGUUG
RNAcentral lists this ribosomal RNA (603 nucleotides) under Triticum aestivum (bread wheat). RNAcentral's name for it is "partial small subunit ribosomal RNA". Lineage: Eukaryota; Viridiplantae; Streptophyta; Magnoliopsida; Poales; Poaceae. The record is from RNAcentral.